AGUGGAAUAGCUGGUUCAAAUGGUGAUUUCAUUCCAAGUUUUCUAUGGAAUUUUCAUACUGCUUUCCAGAGUGGUUGUACCAAUUUGCAGUCCCACCAACAAU
Molecule: microRNA precursor, 103 nt
Filed under: Marmota monax (woodchuck)
Lineage: Eukaryota; Metazoa; Chordata; Mammalia; Rodentia; Sciuridae
Source: RNAcentral